Molecule: transfer RNA, 66 nt
Filed under: Suwallia bimaculata
Lineage: Eukaryota; Metazoa; Arthropoda; Insecta; Plecoptera; Chloroperlidae
Description: tRNA-Asn
Source: RNAcentral
UUAAUUGAAGCCAAAAAGAGGCGUAUCACUGUUAAUGAUAUCAUUGAAUACUCAAUUCCAAUUAAG